Molecule: long non-coding RNA, 4732 nt
Organism: Mus musculus (house mouse)
Lineage: Eukaryota; Metazoa; Chordata; Mammalia; Rodentia; Muridae
Product: predicted gene, 38618
Exons: 2
Source: RefSeq, a predicted model, not a curated record
UGUGGUCCGAGAAAUUUUAGGAGCUGGCAGUAUGCGGGAAGGGAGCGGGUGUGGAAAGGCGUUUCUCCUCUGCCCGCGGGUCCCGGGCCUCUUUCUUAUGGUAAUGAGGGCCGGGGCGGAGCGGCCUCGUGGCUGCAGUGCCCUCCCUCCUCCCGCGCGCGAUCGCGGAGUCCACGGGCUCGGGCCUCUGGGAGAGAGCUGGUGGAGCAGACAAAGCCCGCGGCCGCUACAGUGGGAGGAGCAGGUCUCUGCGCUGUGUGGGGGCCAGGAAGGGGCGUUCGGUUGGGGGUGGGACCCCCGGUAGAGGAUGUGGUUCCCUCUCUUCUCGGAGGUAGCAAGCCCUUCCCCCUCCCCCAGCCCCCCAGUUCCGGGAUCUCAGAGGCCACGACUGGGAGGAACCUGGACUUGGGCGCUGGGAGUUUCUUUGGAGAAAGUUUCUACUGGAGACCAGGUGACGGUGGGGCUAACAGCUGUUUGCAGCUUUCCUGUCCUCACUGAAACCAGAUUCCCCCCAGAGUUUGCCCCAUCUCUGAUUUCCUCCUCACUAAACCAAUUAAGGCAGGAGGUUAAUGACCAAAAAAGCCUUGGGGAUUUGAUCGGGGAGGAAAACAAAGGGCAGAAUCUAUGAGUGGAGAGAGGAUGCUGCUGAAAGGGAAAGGGACAGACUGAAGGUGGAGCGGGCAGGGUGGCACCCCACUGGAAUCUCCCCCCACCCCCCCACCCCACCCCAUACAACAAAGAUACACCAGUCCUCAGGGGAUCUUAGCACCCCCCACUCAAAGUCACACUGAGACUCCAGACCUCCUCCAAGGCAGAAGAGAGCCCAUGUGAGCCUAGCUCUUGGAGGGCAAGGUGUGUGUGAAGGACUCAGGUGUACCCACAGAACAGGCGUGUGCUGAGAUGAUGGAUGCACGGUUGCUGUGGGGGCGAGGGAACGGCUCUUGUUCCUGAGGCUCAGGCCUCCUUUGUUCAGGCUAAUGCCACUCCGUCUGGGCUGCUGUGCACAUGGGCCCAGCUCUGCUUCCCUUCCCUGGUGUCCCUGCACACCUAGGGCUAAGGACAGAUGCCUGAUAAGCCACUCCCUCCAUUCUGCCAAAGAGUGUGGAGGGUGUGUUUUGGUCCCCUUGGGACUCUGAGGAUGUCUGUCUGUCUCUCUAUCUGUACAUCUCUGCCUCUGCGUGUGUGUCUCUUCGUUCCUGUCUCUCUCUUCCUUGCCCUCUCCUACCCUCCUCUCCUCUCCCAACUCCUGUUUUCUGCUGAGGAAUCCAAGGACCCUGAUGAGUUGUUGAAUUGGCUGUGGGCACUGAAUACUUCUGUGUGUUUGUGUGUUUAUGCAUGCAUGGGUGCAGGGCAGGAAAGGUGACCCAGGCCUGAGGAUAGGAAUGUGGGGAAGUCCAUAUUGGGAGACCCAUUUCCCUGUCUGCUCCAAGCACUCUUGAGUGCCUGUUUUCAGCUGUCCACACAGUGACUACCAAAGUAGAAGGAUACACCUAACUCCAGUGCCCUGGGAAGGGAGGGAGACAUGAGAGGCUGUCACCAAGUCCCAUCAAGCAGGUUGGCCUUGGUUUUUCAUCCCCUGCCCCUGUUACUCUGCCCCUCACAGGCUGCCUCGGUCUCUCCUUGUCAGUUCAGCCUCCCUCAUGCUUACGAGGUUUCCCUGGCCUUUUUGGGUUUUUUCUUUUUCUUUUUCUGUUUUUGUUUUUGUUUUUGUUUUUUCGAGACAGAGUUUCUCUGUGUAGCCCUGGCUGUCCUGGAACUCACUCUAUAGACCAGGCUGACCUCGAACUCAGAAAUCUGCCUCCCAAGUACUGGAAUUAAAGGCGUGCACCGCCACCAUCGCCGGGCGCCUUUUUGUUUUUUAACUAAAUUGUACUUCAUUUAUAUAUUACGGGUGUGCACCCGCUGCAGCACUCCCACAUGAAGGUCAGAGAACAACUUGUGGGAACAGGUUCUGUCUUCCACCACGUGAGUGAGUCCUGUGGACUGAAUUCAGAGGGUCAGGUUUGGUAGCAAGUCCCUUUAUCUUGACGGCCGCCUUUUUUGCCUUUUUUCCCUUUUCAUUUUCUUUCUUUCUUUCUUUCUUUCUUUCUUUCUUUCUUUCUCUUUUUCCUUCCUUCCUUCCUUCCUUUCUUCUUUCUUCCUUUCUUUCUUUCUUUCUUUCUUUCUUUCUUUCUUUCUUUUCUUGGUAGGGUCUCCCAUAACCCAGGCUGGCCUGAAACACAUUAUGUAAUUAAUCUAGUAGCUGAGCCUGGCCUUGAACUCCAGUCUCCAUCUCAUAACUACUGGUAUUGCAUGUGUGUGCCACCACACCUGGCCUAUUUUCCUUUUUUAAUACCUCAUGUUGGAAGUACAGCUGGAUGUCUAGCCUCUGCUUUUCUUGCUGAAUGUGCAGCCAGUUUUCCCUCUUAGGCUGAAGUGUGCUGGAGUUUAGAACAGUUUUCAGUGUGUUUUGUGUGUACAUGCAUGUGAGUGAGUGUGUGUGUGUGUGUGCACAUGCAUACGCAAAUGUGCCAUAACACACAUGUGAAAGGCAAAGGACAACUUGAGGCAAUCCUAGGGAUUAAAUUCUAGGGGUCCACAGACUUGGGGGCCAGGUCCUUUAUCCAUGAGCCUUCUUGCCUGCCUUCAACUUAGUUCAGCUAAUAAGAAUAUAUUGGGUAAGAGUAUGCAGCCUGUGAAAGGAUCCCAGACCUGAUCCCUGCUCUCAUGGAGACUCAGGGUACUGGCCCACAUGGCCAAGAUAAUAAGUGGGGGCUAAACCAUCUUUGGGGCUUGGAGAGCCACCAAGGCAGGAGGGGUGGGUGGCUGGCCCUUUGUGUCUCAGCCUGGCCUCCAAGCCCUUUGCAGCCCCAGGCUUAGACCUAAACAGACAGCAGAUCCCACAGCCAGAUCCGCUGCACUAUCCAUGACUCCCCCCAGGGGAAGCAAGUCUGAGGGGCUGGGCUGGAGCCUGGGCCCCACAGGACAGCUGGCUAACAAGGCCCCUCUGGGACUCUGGUCUGGGCCCAGGCAUUCAGGAGGCCGUGAUACUGGAGCUGUGACAGUUGGUCCUUAGAUUUCCCCACCCAGUGGCGCCAGCUCUGGUUUCUGGCUGGGUGGGGGAGGGGAUUCGUUGCCCUCCUGGGACAGGGAGGCAAUAGGCAUGGCCCCUCGAGAGUGUCCCUGUGAGGAUGGGUCCUCCCUGGGGCCGAGCGCUAGAUUGGGUGUGAGAGUGCACGAAGUGGAACAUUAUGUGCAGGAGGUCAGAGCAGGAGUAGAAGCCAAGUGAGGCUUAACCCUGCCCGGUAGCCUCGAUCGCAGGGACACGCAGUCCAGAGACUCAGGUCGAUGACUCUUCUGCCUUCGAUACCAUCCUGUUUCCUUUUCAGAAAAGGGAAGAGGAUAUCAGAGAGGGAGUGAGGGAGGACCUACCAUUUCUGAAGGCUCUCUUCUUACAUCUUCAGACUUUAUAUCCAACCAUACAGUAUUAUUUCAUUACAUGUAUUCAGUGCUUGUGUGUACCAUAUCCUGAGUCGAGAUCUGAGAUUCUCCUUUUUAAUAAUAUGUUUAUUUUACAUACAUUUUACUUGGGAUGUGUAUCUGUGUAAGGGUUGUCAGAUGCUCUGGAACUAAAAUUACAAGACAGUUGUGAGCUGCCAUGUGGGAGCUGGGAAUUGAAGCCAGGUCCGCUGGAAGAACAGUUGGUGUUCUUUUUUUUUUUUUUUUUGUAUUUUUCCCUGAGACGGGGUGUCUCUGUAUAGCCCUGGCUGUCCACCUGCCUCUGCCUCCCAAGCGCUGGGAUUAAAGGUGUGCACCACCACUGCCCGUCCAGUCGGUGCUCUUAACUGCUGAGCCAACUCUGUCUAGCCUAGAGGUUCUCUCCCUCUAUCAUGAAGGUUCUAGGGAACUCAAGGCCUCCGGCUUGGCAGCAAGCACCUUUAUCUGUUGAGCCAUCUCACCUGACCUUUCGAAUGAUUCAAUCUUCAUAAUUCCAUGGAAAUGUAAUUUCUACCAGUUCUUGACAUAAGAAACCUGAGGCUCAGUGAUGUUAAAUAAUUUUCCCAGGUUACACAGCUGCUAAGUGGAAACUGCACAGAGAGAGAGAGAGAGAGAGAGAGAGAGAGAGAGAGAGAGAGAGAGAGACACUCCUGGUUCCCCAGAGGUGGGCAGUGACAUUAAGGGCUUGGAGACUUCCAAGGGGUGAGUAGUUUGGGGAGGCUUCCUGGCUGAGGUGGGUCCGUUGGCAUCAUUAAAAAAGAAAUAAGGUUCGUGGGAAGGGAGAGACUUGGGAGUGUUUCUGGAGGUUGUGUGGGAAGUAACUAGGGAGGCUUGCGAGUUAGGCAUUCUGGAGAGCAAUGGGUACGUGUGGCCACCAGGUGGCGCCGCAGGACUCCUUUGCCUCCCAUUGGUCUGGAGGGCCAGGGCUCAAGUCUGACUCCUUGUGGACCCGGUGCUCCAUGCUCAGCCCUGCACAGUUCAGGCACCCAGCCGGCCCUCCGGUUUUUGGCAUGGCAUCUAACACGUGGAAGACAGGAAAUCUUGAUACCAGUCUAUUCCAGAUUCAGAAUGGAAACCCAAAAUAGAGCCCCCCUCCCCAAACAGCAUACUCUGCCUUCCUGUCCUGUGCCUUCCUGAGUCCCUUAGAGAUACUGUUUAGGGAAAUUGUUAAGGAUACAAGCAUUGUGUGCAGCUGGCUGUGUCUGCAUGGAAAUAAUAAUUACCUAAUAAAGAUGUAAAAGUUUUCAUCCGGUGA